GUGCCAGCCGCCGCGGUAAUACGGAGGGUGCGAGCGUUGUCCGGAAUCAUUGGGCGUAAAGGGCGCGUAGGUGGCGGGACAAGCGUGCGGUGAAAGCCUGGGGCUCAACCCCGGGUCGGCCGUGCGAACUGUUUUGCUUGAGCACUGUAGAGGCAGGCGGAAUUCCGGGUGUAGCGGUGGAAUGCGUAGAGAUCCGGAAGAACACCGGUGGCGAAGGCGGCCUGCUGGGCAGUAGCUGACACUGAGGCGCGACAGCGUGGGGAGCAAACAGGAUUAGAUACCCCCGUAGUCC
This 292-nucleotide ribosomal RNA is filed under the name uncultured bacterium. Its description in RNAcentral is "partial 16S ribosomal RNA". It matches the Rfam family "Bacterial small subunit ribosomal RNA", at positions 505 to 796 of the family's 1533-position model. The record is from RNAcentral.